GAUAAAAAGAAAAUAAAAAAGCAACCCAGCCCCAUCCCCUACCCAUUCUUCCCCAAUCCACCCCGACCAUCUCGCGCCGCCGGCCGGCCGGCAUCCACUUCUCCUCCCCAAGUGCGUCGCCUCCGGCCCGGACCACCACCCCCCUUACCAGUGCAUCGCCGCCUGCCUGCACCUCCUUCCCCUCUGAGUGGACAGCCGUCGGCUCGCACCUCCUUCCCCUCCCAAUGGACCACCGCCUAACUGCACUACCUCCUUGCAUCCUUCGGCGAUGUGCCGCACGAACCCCGCCUCCUCCAGCGAUGCGCCGCUCCUCCCUCCCACCGAACCCACCUCCUUCACCGCAUGGCCACACAACACUACUGCAAAUCCUGCCUCAUCCGCCGCGCAUCCACACAUCCCUGCCCAGAACCCUGCCUCCACGGCGUCGGCAUGCAUCCGCGCGCACCUCUGAUGGACCCGUGUUUCCUACUCCUUGUAUCCUUGCUGCCGCCUCUGCCCUCAAUCCUUGCCACCUUCAAGUUCUAACGACCGUUGGAGCUCGCCGGCAUGGAGUACAUAGCCAUCGGGCGUUGAACUUUUUGUUGUUGUUGUUUGAGAACUAAUGACGAUGCUGCAGCGAUAGCACCUUUCUUCAUUUUGCCUUGAUUUUGUGUCUCCACACUUUGCACAAUGUUUCUCUUUCUAUGAUUCAAUUGAAGUAAAAUAGUUAUGUUUCAGACAAAAUGCAUGUACUAGCAUACUCAAACUUUAGGGAUCCGGAACCCUCUAUGAACCGCCGUGGAUUUUUUGUGUGCAGAGGCCGGAGGAAGAGAAGACAUCAAUCAACACACACGUUCUGAAAAAUGUUAGAAAUUCAAGAGCUUUUUUGCACUUCACCUUUGUUAUAUUGUGGAGAACUUGGUCUGGAUUAUGAAGAUGCAGCGAAAAUGUCAGUUUGUGAUAAGAAGAAUGUUGUGAUUAAUAUUCUCACUUACGCUAUUAUGUAGAACUCGUGGAAGACACGAAACAUUAUAUACUUUGGUGGGUUGAUGUGGUUUGAAAUGCAGGUGAUGUGGUUGCGAUUGCGGCUAGGCUAAACUAGGGAAGAAGAAGAGAAAGAUAUCCAUCCACCUGUUAGGUCCAAGUACGUGAAACUCGCGCUGACGCAUCGUGUCCUUCUGCGUGCCGCCGAAGAAAAUGCUGCUUGACGGUGGCGGAGAGAGAACGUGGAAAGAGAAUGAGGGUGUCUGUAGUUUUGCAGACGGUCGAUAUCCCAAAAAUAUCGCUCCUUAUCGACAGCUGCUUGCGGUUGUACAUUCGCAUCAUCGGUAGUUUGCCCCAACGACACAGCCGAAAAAUAUCGCUCCUUAUCGACAGCUGCUUGCGGUUGUACAUUCGCAUCAUCGGUAGUUUGCCCCAACGACACAGCCGAACCGCCGAAUCUCGUGCUCCACAAGUCCAAAUAUGAUCGAUAUUUUCCUUGUAACAGACUCCAAAAGAGUUGGUCCAUUGUAAAGGGUAUUUUCAAUACUAUCUAGAGCUGACAUGAAGCGUUGUUAUAGAUAGUAGGUGUCUAUACUAAUGUACAUGCCCUUAGUCUAGCGAUUUCUUUAUAGCUCCACUUUUUGACUUUUA
Molecule: long non-coding RNA, 1614 nt
Organism: Hordeum vulgare subsp. vulgare (domesticated barley)
Lineage: Eukaryota; Viridiplantae; Streptophyta; Magnoliopsida; Poales; Poaceae
Exons: 3
Source: RefSeq, a predicted model, not a curated record